Molecule: long non-coding RNA, 589 nt
Filed under: Panax ginseng (ginseng)
Lineage: Eukaryota; Viridiplantae; Streptophyta; Magnoliopsida; Apiales; Araliaceae
Description: long non-coding RNA (PGIN_LNC014112)
Source: RNAcentral
CCUUUCCGCUUAAAUUUGUUGGUGAUAAAGUAUUCUCCCCAUUUAACGUCCACUGUAUGGGACCAAAAUUGUCCUCUUCCUCAUCUUCCAUACUUAAAUAAAUUCACCAUUUUGUCUUUAUAUAAACAAUAACAAUUUCUUUUGCUAUAUCUAAGCAAAAACUAUUAUAUAUCCUUGUGUUCCUUGUCACAAAAGAAAAAGCAAUAAAGUAGGAGAAUGAUAAUCUACCCAUACAUAAUAACUAAUCCUCCAAAUCUAGCUAGAUUUUAUUAACUAAAGCAUAAGAAAAAACUACAACUUAAAAAAAGUAAAAAAAAAAUGAAUAAGAGAAGGGAUAAUUUGCAUUUAUGAAGGUGGUGACAUUUCUCCAAUAAUCCCAUGUAUGUUGCCAAAUUGGGAUUUCAUUUUCUAAAGGAAACUCCCAAGGAAAUCGGUCCUAUAAGCUGUUAGUAGUAAGUUUGAAUAAGCAACAACAAGGCAACUUCCUACUCAUCAAUCAAAAUCUCUAUUGAAUGAUACACCUCUAUUGGUUAUUGGGUAAGCCGGUAAGGUUAGGGAAGUGGGGUCCUAACACACUUGGAGGAUAGAU